RNAcentral lists this ribosomal RNA (254 nucleotides) under uncultured bacterium. Its description in RNAcentral is "partial 16S ribosomal RNA". It matches the Rfam family "Bacterial small subunit ribosomal RNA", at positions 793 to 1055 of the family's 1533-position model. The record is from RNAcentral.
GUCCACGCCUAACGAUGUCAACUGGUUGUUGGAGGGUUCUUCUCAGUAACGAAGCUAACGCGUGAAGUUGACCGCCUGGGAGUACGGCCGCAAGGUUGAACUCAAGGAAUUGACGGGACCCGCACAAGCGGUGGAUGAUGUGGUUUAAUUCGAUGCAACGCGAAACCUUACCUACCCUUGACAUGUCAGAGAUCCUGUAGAGAUAUGGGAGUGCUCGCAAGAGAAUCUGAACACAGGUGCUGCAUGGCCGUCGU